This 252-nucleotide ribosomal RNA is filed under the name uncultured Bacteroidales bacterium. Its description in RNAcentral is "partial 16S ribosomal RNA". It matches the Rfam family "Bacterial small subunit ribosomal RNA", at positions 524 to 776 of the family's 1533-position model. Lineage: Bacteria; Pseudomonadati; Bacteroidota; Bacteroidia; Bacteroidales. The record is from RNAcentral.
UACGGAGGAUGCGAGCGUUAUCCGGAUUUAUUGGGUUUAAAGGGUGCGUAGGCGGGAUGCCAAGUCAGCGGUAAAAAUGCGGUGCUCAACGCCGUCGAGCCGUUGAAACUGGCGUUCUUGAGUGGGCGAGAAGUAUGCGGAAUGCGUGGUGUAGCGGUGAAAUGCAUAGAUAUCACGCAGAACUCCGAUUGCGAAGGCAGCUUACUAAGCCAUAACUGACACUGAAGCACGAAAGCGUGGGGAUCAAACAGG